RNAcentral lists this ribosomal RNA (475 nucleotides) under uncultured Methanosaeta sp. Its description in RNAcentral is "bacterial SSU rRNA". It matches the Rfam family "Archaeal small subunit ribosomal RNA", at positions 871 to 1337 of the family's 1478-position model. The record is from RNAcentral. Lineage: Archaea; Methanobacteriati; Methanobacteriota; Methanomicrobia; Methanotrichales; Methanotrichaceae.
UUGACGGGGAGCACCACGAACGGGUGGAGCUUGUCGGUUUAAUUGGAUUCAACGCCGGAAAUCUUACCGGGACCGACAGCAAUAUGAAGGCCAGGCUGAAGACUUUGCCGGAUUAGCUGAGAGGUGGUGCAUGGCCGUCGUCAGUUCGUACUGUGAAGCAUCCUGUUAAGUCAGGCAACGGGCGAGACCCACGCCCACAGUUGCCAGCGUACUCUCCGGAGUGACGGGUACACUGUGGGGACCGCCGCUGCUAAAGCGGAGGAAGGAAUGGGCAACGGUAGGUCAGUAUGCCCCGAAUAUCCCGGGCUACACGCGAGCUACAAUGGUUGGUACAAUGGGUAUCUACCCCGAAAGGGGACGGAAAUCUCCUAAAACCAAUCUUAGUUCGGAUUGAGGGCUGCAACUCGCCCUCAUGAAGCUGGAAUCCGUAGUAAUCGCGUUUCAACAGAACGCGGUGAAUACGUCCCUGCUCCUU